This 503-nucleotide ribosomal RNA is filed under the name uncultured bacterium. RNAcentral's name for it is "partial 16S ribosomal RNA". It matches the Rfam family "Bacterial small subunit ribosomal RNA", at positions 30 to 523 of the family's 1533-position model. The record is from RNAcentral.
AUUGAACGCUGGCGGCAGGCUUAACACAUGCAAGUCGAGCGGGGUGAUGGUGCUUGCACUAUCACUUAGCGGCGGACGGGUGAGUAAUGCUUAGGAAUCUGCCUAUUAGUGGGGGACAACAUCGCGAAAGGGAUGCUAAUACCGCAUACGUCCUACGGGAGAAAGCAGGGGAUCACUUGUGACCUUGCGCUAAUAGAUGAGCCUAAGUCGGAUUAGCUAGUUGGUGGGGUAAAGGCCUCCCAAGGCGACAAUCCGUAGCGGGUCUGAGAAGAUGAUCCGCCACACUGGGACUGAGACACGGCCCAGACUCCGACGGGAGGCAGCAGUGGGGAAUAUUGGACAAUGGGGGGAACCCUGAUCCAGCCAUGCCGCGUGUGUGAAGAAGGCCUUAUGGUUGUAAAGCACUUUAAGCGAGGAGGAGGCUCUUUUGGUUAAUACCCAAGAUGAGUGGACGUUACUCGCAGAAUAAGCACCGGCUAACUCUGUGCCAGCCGCCGCCGUAA